UACGAGAGGUCCAAACGUUAUUCGGAAUCACUGGGCUUACAGAGUUCGUAGGCGGUUCUACAAGUGGGGUGUGAAAGCCCUCGGCUCAACCGAGGAACUGCGCUCCAAACUGUAGAACUAGAGGGAGAUAGAGGUGAGCGGAACUGAUGGUGGAGCGGUGAAAUGCGUUGAUAUCUGGAGGAACACCGGUGGCGAAGGCGGCGUUCUGGACUGCAACUGACACUGAGAAACGAAAGCCAGGGGAGCAAACGGG
This 253-nucleotide ribosomal RNA is filed under the name uncultured bacterium. RNAcentral's name for it is "partial 16S ribosomal RNA". It matches the Rfam family "Bacterial small subunit ribosomal RNA", at positions 524 to 776 of the family's 1533-position model. The record is from RNAcentral.